UACAGAGGUCCCAAGCGUUGUUCGGAUUCACUGGGCGUAAAGGGUGCGUAGGUGGCCAGGUAAGUUCGGUGUGAAAGCUCGGAGCUUAACUCCGAAAUGGCAUUGAAUACUAUCUGGCUAGAGGGUCGGAGGGGAGACUGGAAUUCUCGGUGUAGCAGUGAAAUGCGUAGAUAUCGGGAGGAAGGCCGGUGGCGAAGGCGGCGCUCUGGAACAUUUCUGACGCUGAGGCUCGAAAGGCGUGGGAGCAAACAGG
This 253-nucleotide ribosomal RNA is filed under the name uncultured bacterium. Its description in RNAcentral is "partial 16S ribosomal RNA". It matches the Rfam family "Bacterial small subunit ribosomal RNA", at positions 524 to 776 of the family's 1533-position model. The record is from RNAcentral.